RNAcentral lists this ribosomal RNA (251 nucleotides) under uncultured bacterium. RNAcentral's name for it is "partial 16S ribosomal RNA". It matches the Rfam family "Bacterial small subunit ribosomal RNA", at positions 524 to 776 of the family's 1533-position model. The record is from RNAcentral.
UACGGAGGAUGCGAGCGUUAUCCGGAUUUAUUGGGUUUAAAGGGUGCGUAGGCGGACGCUUAAGUCAGCGGUAAAAUUGCGGGCUCAACCUCGUCGAGCCGUUGAAACUGGGUGCCUUGAGUGGGCGAGAAGUACGCGGAAUGCGUGGUGUAGCGGUGAAAUGCAUAGAUAUCACGCAGAACUCCGAUUGCGAAGGCAGCGUACCGGCGCCCAACUGACGCUGAAGCACGAAGGCGUGGGUAUCGAACAGG